Molecule: ribosomal RNA, 2709 nt
Rfam family: Bacterial large subunit ribosomal RNA
ACUAUCGUUAACUGAAUACAUAGGUUAACGAGGCGAACCGGGGGAACUGAAACAUCUAAGUACCCCGAGGAAAAGAAAUCAACCGAGAUUCCCCCAGUAGCGGCGAGCGAACGGGGAGCAGCCCAGAGUCUGAAUCAGCUUGUGUGUUAGUGGAAGCGUCUGGAAAGUCGCACGGUACAGGGUGAAAGUCCCGUACACGAAAACACACAGGCUGUGAACUCGAAGAGUAGGGCGGGACACGUGGUAUCCUGUCUGAAUAUGGGGGGACCAUCCUCCAAGGCUAAAUACUCCUGACUGACCGAUAGUGAACCAGUACCGUGAGGGAAAGGCGAAAAGAACCCCGGCGAGGGGAGUGAAAAAGAACCUGAAACCGUGUACGUACAAGCAGUGGGAGCACCUUCGUGGUGUGACUGCGUACCUUUUGUAUAAUGGGUCAGCGACUUAUAUUCUGUAGCAAGGUUAACCGUAUAGGGGAGCCGAAGGGAAACCGAGUCUUAACUGGGCGUUAAGUUGCAGGGUAUAGACCCGAAACCCGGUGAUCUAGCCAUGGGCAGGUUGAAGGUUGGGUAACACUAACUGGAGGACCGAACCGACUAAUGUUGAAAAAUUAGCGGAUGACCUGUGGCUGGGGGUGAAAGGCCAAUCAAACCGGGAGAUAGCUGGUUCUCCCCGAAAGCUAUUUAGGUAGCGCCUCGUGAACUCAUCUUCGGGGGUAGAGCACUGUUUCGGCUAGGGGGCCAUCCCGGCUUACCAACCCGAUGCAAACUACGAAUACCGAAGAAUGUUAUCACGGGAGACACACGGCGGGUGCUAACGUCCGUCGUGAAGAGGGAAACAACCCAGACCGCCAGCUAAGGUCCCAAAGUCAUGGUUAAGUGGGAAACGAUGUGGGAAGGCCCAGACAGCCAGGAUGUUGGCUUAGAAGCAGCCAUCAUUUAAAGAAAGCGUAAUAGCUCACUGGUCGAGUCGGCCUGCGCGGAAGAUGUAACGGGGCUAAACCAUGCACCGAAGCUGCGGCAGCGACGCUUAUGCGUUGUUGGGUAGGGGAGCGUUCUGUAAGCCGUUGAAGGUGGCCUGUGAGGGUUGCUGGAGGUAUCAGAAGUGCGAAUGCUGACAUAAGUAACGAUAAAGCGGGUGAAAAGCCCGCUCGCCGGAAGACCAAGGGUUCCUGUCCAACGUUAAUCGGGGCAGGGUGAGUCGACCCCUAAGGCGAGGCCGAAAGGCGUAGUCGAUGGGAAACAGGUUAAUAUUCCUGUACUUGGUGUUACUGCGAAGGGGGGACGGAGAAGGCUAUGUUAGCCGGGCGACGGUUGUCCCGGUUUAAGCAUGUAGGCGGAGGUUCCAGGUAAAUCCGGUACCUUUUAACGCUGAGGUGUGAUGACGAGGCACUACGGUGCUGAAGUAACAAAUGCCCUGCUUCCAGGAAAAGCCUCUAAGCAUCAGGUAACACGAAAUCGUACCCCAAACCGACACAGGUGGUCAGGUAGAGAAUACCAAGGCGCUUGAGAGAACUCGGGUGAAGGAACUAGGCAAAAUGGUGCCGUAACUUCGGGAGAAGGCACGCUGAUAUGUAGGUGAAGCCCCUGCGGGUGGAGCUGAAAUCAGUCGAAGAUACCAGCUGGCUGCAACUGUUUAUUAAAAACACAGCACUGUGCAAACACGAAAGUGGACGUAUACGGUGUGACGCCUGCCCGGUGCCGGAAGGUUAAUUGAUGGGGUUAGCGGUAACGCGAAGCUCUUGAUCGAAGCCCCGGUAAACGGCGGCCGUAACUAUAACGGUCCUAAGGUAGCGAAAUUCCUUGUCGGGUAAGUUCCGACCUGCACGAAUGGCGUAAUGAUGGCCAGGCUGUCUCCACCCGAGACUCAGUGAAAUUGAACUCGCUGUGAAGAUGCAGUGUACCCGCGGCAAGACGGAAAGACCCCGUGAACCUUUACUAUAGCUUGACACUGAACACUGGUCCUUGAUGUGUAGGAUAGGUGGGAGGCUUUGAAGCGUGGACGCCAGUCUGCGUGGAGCCGNCCGGGUUGCGGACAGUGUCUGGUGGGUAGUUUGACUGGGGCGGUCUCCUCCCAAAGAGUAACGGAGGAGCACGAAGGUUAGCUAAUCCUGGUCGGACAUCAGGAGGUUAGUGCAAUGGCAUAAGCUAGCUUGACUGCGAGAGUGACGGCUCGAGCAGGUGCGAAAGCAGGUCAUAGUGAUCCGGUGGUUCUGAAUGGAAGGGCCAUCGCUCAACGGAUAAAAGGUACUCCGGGGAUAACAGGCUGAUACCGCCCAAGAGUUCAUAUCGACGGCGGUGUUUGGCACCUCGAUGUCGGCUCAUCACAUCCUGGGGCUGAAGUAGGUCCCAAGGGUAUGGCUGUUCGCCAUUUAAAGUGGUACGCGAGCUGGGUUUAGAACGUCGUGAGACAGUUCGGUCCCUAUCUGCCGUGGGCGCUGGAGAAUUGAGGGGGGCUGCUCCUAGUACGAGAGGACCGGAGUGGACGCAUCACUGGUGUUCGGGUUGUCAUGCCAAUGGCACUGCCCGGUAGCUAAAUGCGGAAGAGAUAAGUGCUGAAAGCAUCUAAGCACGAAACUUGCCCCGAGAUGAGUUCUCCCUGAGACUUAAAGUCUCCUGAAGGAACGUUGAAGACGACGACGUUGAUAGGUCGGGUGUGUAAGCGCAGCGAUGCGUUGAGCUAACCGAUACUAAUGAACCGUGAGGCUUAACC